GUGUCAGCCGCCGCGGUAAGACGUACCACCCAAACGUUAUUCGGAAUCACUGGGCUUAAAGGGUCCGUAGGCGGCGAAGAAAGUUGGGUGUGAAAUACCUCAGCUCAACUGAGGAAUUGCGCUCAAAACUACUUUGCUCGAGAAAGACAGAGGUGAGCGGAACUGAUGGUGGAGCGGUGAAAUGCAUUGAUAUCAUCAGGAACACCGGUGGCGAAAGCGGCUCACUGGGUCUUUUCUGACGCUGAUGGACGAAAGCUAGGGGAGCGAACGGGAUUAGAAACCCUAGUAGUCC
Molecule: ribosomal RNA, 292 nt
Filed under: uncultured bacterium
Lineage: Bacteria
Description: partial 16S ribosomal RNA
Rfam family: Bacterial small subunit ribosomal RNA
Source: RNAcentral